Molecule: long non-coding RNA, 1197 nt
Organism: Suricata suricatta (meerkat)
Lineage: Eukaryota; Metazoa; Chordata; Mammalia; Carnivora; Herpestidae
Exons: 7
Source: RefSeq, a predicted model, not a curated record
CAUAGCAACGUCUCACCAUGAGCCAGCAUGCUAUCACACUUGCAGAGAAAGCCUUGCCUGAAGCCUUUCACUGCCAGUAUUAACUGUGGGGUUCCCCAGCUGCUGGAAACCGUUAGAACUGCAGAAGAAGGCUGGCAAGUGUUCAAGAACAGACCAUCUCAUGAGAUUUCCUGUACUUCCUGCUGCUGUUGCUGCUGCUGUCCAGGUCACGUGUCCCCCAGAAAGCCUUUCUCAUGACAGGUCAGCACUUCUGCUGCCAGUUGUGGCAGAAGCCAGAUGUGAGGAGAGACAUGAAAAAACAACAUAAUGAAGAGAACAUAACUACUGCAAACCCAUAACAACAUGUGAAAAUCCAAGGAGCAGGAAGACACAGAGAAGCCAACCUCUAAAUUCAGCUGGAUAAGAAAAAUCUAUGCGGUUUCAAAGAUUCCACGAAAAAGACGCCACUACCCACAUCUAUCCACUCGUGUUUAUGAAUGUACACCCACCUUCAUCCACAGAGAUUUGAAGAGGACAGAUGGCUUUAUGACCCCCCUUCUAGAGAUGAUGAAGCCAGGACUAGUUACCCCAGUCCACAAAGCUGAGAGAGACACAGCAGAGAGCCAGGUAGUAAGAAAUGUUAGAAGAGAAAUGUUCUACUGAAAUAAAAAGAUCUCAAAAAUUAAACUCUGACAAUUACAGCUGAUAUCAAUAAGGUUUCAGGUGUGCAAUACAGUGAUUCAGCAAUUCCAUAUAUUACUCAGCUCUCAUCACGCCCUUCUAACCUUAAAGAUUGGAAAGCUGAUAAUGGAAAGGAAGCAAAGCCAAGGGCCCGGGUAGCUGCAAGGAACGUGGCGUAAGAGAGCUGUAGUCUGCUCCUAAGGGAUAAGAUGUAAGCCCUGACCUCACAGCUUAUAUCCCUCACUUUCUCCUCUUCUGUAUCCGAGAGACAGCUGUCCCCAUGUCACCUUCAUCUGUAAUCUACUGCCUUUUCCCAGAAUCCUUAAGAUUAUCCAAUCUGUACAAAGGAGCCGGAAGGAGCUCUAUAAACUUGAAUGGAAGCCUUGGUCCAUGUCCUUCACUGGAGGCCUCCCUAAACCUCUUUUCCAAGAGCCAUAAUGGGUCCCUAGCAGUAAAGAGUCUACCUUGCCUUCCUGAUCCGCCAUUCUAUCAGGGGAGGAGAAAUGUUACACCCAGAAUAAACACUCGGCAAACAUC